Molecule: ribosomal RNA, 1335 nt
Filed under: Triticum aestivum (bread wheat)
Lineage: Eukaryota; Viridiplantae; Streptophyta; Magnoliopsida; Poales; Poaceae
Description: partial small subunit ribosomal RNA
Source: RNAcentral
UCUACCGUGCGCGAGCGUGGCGUGCGUGCCGGUGCCGGUCCAGGUCUCAGUUACGUCUCGACUUGCGGAACUGUCUCUCACGUCUCGCAGGUGGCAUCGCCUCGCCGCCGCUGCCACGCUGUGGUACGCGCGAGGCCGCUAUGACGACGUGGCGUCGUGCCGGCGGCGGCCGGAGUCGCUCGGAGGCAGCGACGACGGCGGAGCCGGGCUCGUCGUCUGUAGCGAACACCAGUGGCACGUGAGCCUGUACCACCACUAGGACCGCAGCGACGACACGCAGGAGUCGACGCAGGAGCCGGAGCGGGAGGACAGGGCCGUGCGCACGGCGGCUGCUGGGAGACUGGCGAUGGGAGGAGGGGGGUGCCCGGAGUCCUUCUUCCGUUAGCUGCGCGAGGGGUGGCAGAGGAAGCGGCGCCGGCGGAGCAGCAGCAGCCUCACACGAUAUACGGACCGCCUUAAACGGCUGCCCCUCCGGCACGCGCACGAGGGUCCUACGCCGGUGCCGAAGGUGUAGCGGACGCAGCUGCGGACCGAGGCCUGCGCGCGGAGCACGGGCAGGACGGCCCGGAGGUAGCAACGGUGCGGGUACGUCUACGUCCAUGUCGGUCGCCGCCGCGGGUGGCACCAUCAGCAGCACCGUCCCUUAUCGUCCACGCCCUCUACGCCGCUCGACUGCCGCCGCCGGCCACGUGCGCGGCGCCUACCGCGCCAGAACCGAAUCAGUCCAAACAUCCAUGACAAGCGCACGAAGUAAAAUGAGCCGGAGACGAAGUAAAACCGUCGAGGAGACGUUUCGUUUUGAACACCACAAAUUCUAAAGUCAUGCGAUCUCGUUAAGUCUUUACACAUAUAUUUUUUUUCUAAUUAAUAACAGCUAGACUCAAACAAAUACCACGAGACGAGAGACCGGUUUACUUCGGUUACUUCGAAAUUAGUCAGAGGUAGUCGUAGUCGAACGGCAAGUAACGUUUUGUUCUACUAUCGUCGAACUGCCUACCUCCUAGGUUUCUGUUUCAUUUUUUCCUGUUUGAGUAGUAACAGAGACAACAAUAAAAAGGAAGAAGCUUUCUUAUCAAAAACAACCGACAGCAAGUUCGAAACUUGCAACUGCACCUAUGGUACAUAUUGACCGUCCUAAGGUGGGCUCUUUUUUUUCUUUGACCGUCCUAAGUCUGUCAGUACUGUCUCGUUCAGUCAGAGUGCCAAGAACAAAAAAAAAUUGUGAUCUAAUCAUAUCUACAAACGUUAAUUAACGUUUUAAAGAGUGGCUCGCGAUUCAUCCGAACGCCAUCAGUUACAUCUAACUUUCCGUUUUAAACAGGAGGUGUUACGUGC